GAAACAACUCUCAGCAACGGAUAUCUG
RNAcentral lists this ribosomal RNA (27 nucleotides) under Hypnum cupressiforme. RNAcentral's name for it is "partial 5.8S ribosomal RNA". The record is from RNAcentral. Lineage: Eukaryota; Viridiplantae; Streptophyta; Bryopsida; Hypnales; Hypnaceae.